CGGGAGUGGUGUUUCCGAUCUACGCUGCUUCGGUCUCUGUGUUAGCGCGUGGGGCCUCAUCUUCUGAACUCGCUUACCCUCAGCUUCCUGGGCCACAGCUCAUUGUUCUCCCUUAACUGUGCGGUGUCGGCGUCCUCGCUCGUGGUGUACUCGCAGUUCGCUUUCCGGGUACUGGCAUUCACAAGAAUGGCUCAGUAAUCUAGGCCUUUAGGUGUCAUCCUUACCCUCUCCCCGCACCAUGGCGGUGGAGACGCAUUGGGGAGGAAAAGUGAACCCCUUAAGAGGACUGCUCCGAGGGCAAAUGGAACUAGCUCAGCAGCUUGCCACCCCUGGGUGCCUGGCCCGGUAAACAAAAUCUUUUAGAGGGUUUGUGCUUUGCAGAACUCAAGACUGAAGCCCAACCAACCCUUUAGUGAUUUGACUCUGUGUAUCUCCAGCUCAUGAUUCCCUAUGCAUGGUUUACCUACCAGGAAAGAAGGCACUCCUCAGCUACUAUAAAUAUCAGGUGUAACUUGAUGUUUAAGGUGGGUAUUAUAAAUGCCAUUGACAUUGACGCCGGACAGCCAUUUUAAUCACCUGGGAGCUUAUUAGAAAUGCAUACUUUUGGCCCCACUCCAGUCUUUCUGAAUCAGAAACUUGAGAUUCCCAGGCAGUUCCUCUACACCAUAAAGUUUAAGAAGCAUUGGUGAGCCAAUCACAAUAAUUCCAUCUUGAUAGGGACUGUUUCUGUAAUGGGUGUGUCAUCCAUUUUGAGCCAGUGAAACCCCAAGGUGCCAGCUCAGAGCAUCUGGGAGGAAAAAAGCCAGUCUCUCCUGGAUGUAAACAAGGCUGCAAGACAGCACACUGCUUCAGUUCCUGCUGUCAAACAUCUUGUGACCACAAGUGAACCUAGAUUGUGGCCAAGACUGCCAGGAGCCUACCCAGAGUGUUCAUUCUCCUCUUCCUGAGUAAUAGGACCAGUGGACGUUCCCAUGGGAUGGAAGAAGCAUAGGAUGGAAAUGAGUGCCCUAGACUUUGCAGCAACACACAUUGUGUUAGGAAUGUGUCUAUAAGGCCUGUUGAGACAAGUGGUUUUCAACCAGAGUUGCAUAUCAGAAUCACUUGGACAACAUUUUAAAGAUAUCAAUUUCCAGGCCCCCUCCUAGAGGUGUUUUUGUUGUUGUUGUUGUUGUUGUUUGGUUUUUUUUAACGGCCACACCUUUGGCCUAUGGAAGCUCCUGGGCAAGGUGUUGAAUUGCAGCUGCAGGCCUAUGCCACAGCCAUGGCAACACUAAGUCCAAGCUGUAUCUGCAACCUAUGCCACAGCUUGUGGCAACACUGGAUUCUCAACCCUCUGAGUGAGGCCAGGGAUUGAACCUGCAUCCUCACAGACACUGUGUCAGAUUCUUAAUCUGCUAAAUCACAGUGNNNNNNNNNNNNNNNNNNNNNNNNNNNNNNNNNNNNNNNNNNNNNNNNNNCCCCCGGGCUGUCCCUGCAGCACGCUGAAGUUUCCAGGCCAGAGGUGGAACCUGAGCCACAGCAGCAACAAUGCUGGAUCCUUAAAAACCCACCCACCCCCAUCACCAGGAAACUUCUGGACACAUUUUAUAAAAGUUCCUCAGUGGUUAUACUAUGUAGCCAUUGAGAAAUACCAGCUUAAAUCACAUUUUACAGCAUAAUGCCAUUUCAGUAUUGCUUUUCCCCUAGGAUUGCUCAUGAAACUUCUUGUAAACUCUUUUCGUAACUUUGUUGUUUUUUGUUUUUUGUGGUCUAAGACCCACAGAGGUCCAAGGCCCAGGUCCCAAGGCUGCUUUUCUAGACUCCUCUAGUAGGAGCCACCAAGGUAUACUUUUCAAAGCUGACUGAGGCCCCACUUUGUGGGACUGUUUCUGUUUCUAAGUUCAGCUAACUUUUGCCUCUUUCCUUUAUUUCCCCAAGGGUGAUGUUACUAUCUCUGCCAUGUCACUCACCCUUUGCUUUGUCAGCUCUUGAAUGCCAAAUUCUCUAUGUUGAAUUAUCUGUUAAAAUUAUUAAUGUGAGGAGUUCCCGUCGUGGCUCAGUGGUUAACGAAUCCGACUAGGAACCAUGAGGUUGCUGGUUUGAUCCCUGGCCUCACUCAGUGGGCUAAGGAUCCAGA
This 2116-nucleotide long non-coding RNA is filed under the name Sus scrofa (pig). RNAcentral's name for it is "lncRNA (ENSSSCG00050073915.1)". The record is from RNAcentral. Lineage: Eukaryota; Metazoa; Chordata; Mammalia; Artiodactyla; Suidae.